ACCUGGAGGCUGCAACCCGCCCUGGGCUUUAAGACCUGGCUUCCGGGUGUGAUGUCAGGCUGAUCUGUCCAGCUGUGACAGGCUAAUCCCUCCACUCUGCUGAGAUAGGAGAAUAAUCCCCAAAGAGGUUUCAUACCGGAUGAGUAGCACCAACCCAGGACUGGGCUAGCCAUGUAUAGCUCACAUCUGGCUCCUCCCCCAAGGAAAAUGCUCUGGAUGAGGAUCCCUCCACCUUUAGUUAACUAAGCGAGGGGGAGUUUCAGGAGGAUCCUGACCCCCAGCUGGAUCCUCAGCAAGGGCUGCCUGGCUGGGAUAAGAGAGAUCACCUGCAGGGAGCGCCGGGAGCCUGCUAUUAGCUUCCCUCUCCUGCUUUCAUUGCUUUGCCUUCCUUUCCUCAGCAGAGCGGAACCCCAUAAGCAAUUAACCCUUCACAAGCUGAGUCACCGGACUUUGGAUAAUACAGGAUUAGACCAUUUAGCUGAAGCAGCUCAAGUCUGUAAAUAUGCAUGGGUUUCUGGAGCCUUUGGCAAUGCCUUAUAUGGAUUUCCUGAAUCAUCAGCAGAACACAGAGAGUCUGGCUCUCCCCACCACCCUGCUGCUGGUGUGUAGCUGUAUCAGAGACAUUGCCUGGGAAGACCACGUGGGACCAGCUGUGUCUGAAACUCUGCUGAUUCUCAGGAACAAGGCCCUGAGCUGCACGUCUAGUUUCUCAGCUUGUCCGUUGGGAUGGAGCACCCUGUAGCAGUUAGUCAACCUGUGCAGAAGUGGAUAGCCGAAGAACUGCUUUCAAGCUACACAGUAGGAUAAAGGCAUUUAUCACUAUGAACUUCCCUCUUAGAACUGAUUUUGCUGCGUCUCAUAAGUUUUGAGGUAACCUGAUUCUUCUGCUUGAGUGGCUUCACGAAGCAGCGAACACUUUUCCUGUCCAUUGUUGAACCCCUCAUGCCUAACCCAGUGCCUAGAACACAGGCUCGUCAUAGAUGUGUGGAAUGAAUGGAUGAAAGAAAACAACGAAGAGCCAGUUGUCGGUGGAGGAUCCCAAAGGAGCAGUUCCGCCUUCAUGUUGAAGACUUUCUUUGCCCUGCAUGUUGUAACCACAUAAAGCUAGCUGGGAGCCACGUGGCUGCCCUCAUUGUUGCUCCUUGGCAAUGUUCUCUCUGUGCCAGGCAUCAAACAUGAGCCCCUCAGUGGGAUCCCUGCCCUGUGUGCGCCCCAAUACCUGGACACUUCCUGGAUGCUCCAAGAGGAUGGAGAUUUGCCCCUCCCGACUUUCCCAUGAUUAAUGUUUGUCCGUAGCCUUGUCACAACCAACCUUGGGAGUGUUGCUGGGUUCUGGUGGGGGUCCCUCCUGAGAGAGGCCUUUCUAUUCUGUGAGGUGAAUUGAAGGCUGUCAAACCUUUCGCUCAAACUGGUCUCAUCUGCAUCAAGUCGUACAGAAAUUCCUUGAAAUGUCUGGUAUGUGGGUGGAAUCCUUUUUCAGUUUUGAAGAAUGACAGAUUUUCCCCUAUCAUUAUUUUCCUUUGGCUGUGUCAAUGGGAGUUUGGAAGAGAGACAGGAUGGGAAGUUCAAUGUGAGGAUUUGAAUGCCUGUCACAGAAUAGAAGUCU
Molecule: long non-coding RNA, 1606 nt
Organism: Equus asinus (donkey)
Lineage: Eukaryota; Metazoa; Chordata; Mammalia; Perissodactyla; Equidae
Source: Ensembl